RNAcentral lists this ribosomal RNA (441 nucleotides) under uncultured bacterium. Its description in RNAcentral is "partial 16S ribosomal RNA". It matches the Rfam family "Bacterial small subunit ribosomal RNA", at positions 338 to 795 of the family's 1533-position model. The record is from RNAcentral.
CCUACGGGCGACAGCAGUGGGGAAUAUUGCACAAUGGGGGAAACCCUGAUGCAGCAACGCCGCGUGGGUGAAGGAGUGUUUCGGCGCGUAAAGCCCUGUCAGCGGGGAAGAAGAAAGACGGUACCCGACCAAGAAGCACCGGCUAACUACGUGCCAGCAGCCGCGGUAAUACGUAGGGUGCGAGCGUUAUCCGGAAUUACUGGGUGUAAAGGGAGCGUAGGCGGCGGGUUAAGCCUGAAGUGGAAGCCCGCGGCCCAACCGCGGUACUGCGUUGGAAACUGGGUAGCUGGAGUGUGGGAGGGGUAAGCGGAAUUCCUGGUGUAGCGGUGAAAUGCGUAGAUAUCAGGAGGAACACCAGUGGCGAAGGCGGCUUACUGGACGGUAACUGACGUUGAGGCUCGAAAGCGUGGGGAGCGAACAGGAUUAGAUACCCCUGUAGUC